Long non-coding RNA from Olea europaea var. sylvestris, 531 nucleotides. RefSeq lists it as uncharacterized. The transcript is spliced from 2 exons. The record is from RefSeq and is a predicted model, not a curated record. NCBI's taxonomy places the organism in Eukaryota, Viridiplantae, Streptophyta, Magnoliopsida, Lamiales, Oleaceae.
UACAACAAAUAUCACCAAGUUGAUUAACAAUAUAUCGAAACACCACCUUCAAGUUGCCUUAGUUGUUCACAAAGCACAUCAAUGACGGCCGCAGCAAAUUCCCCUUAAAACCAUGUAGUGAUAACGUCCUUUAUGAAAGCCUUCAACAUUGUCAUCAUCAUCGCUCCCACCAGCAAUUGAGGCUGCUUUACCACCACCGCUGAGUCAGGAGGAGGGCCUUUGGGAGUUUUCUAGAAUCAGGGAUCUGAUUUGGGUUUUGGGAGUUUAGAAUGUAUUAAUCAAUUAAUAGAGUAUUAUUCAAUUUUUUAUUUUUUUAUUUUUAGCGGUAGUGGGUCUAAUUUUCCCAAUGAAAAUUUGGCACGGACUUUAAAGCUCUAUCUCUUCAAACUGACUUUCGGCCCCACGGAAGUCCAUUACGCUGGCCGCCUGCUUAACUAUAACAGCACUACAGUACUACUAAUGCAGUCUUUUGGAAGCUCUUGUAGUGAGCAGAGUAACUGGAUUUCUGUGAUCGACGGUUUCUGGAAUUUG